GUGUUGUAACACAAAAAAGUCGAAUUUUUUCUAUGAAUAUAAAUUUUGUUAGUUAUAUGCUGAAUAGAGUAAAAGUGCAAUAACUCACUUUAUUUUCCUACACUCUUUUUUAUCAAAAACGUGUCGUUUCUCGCUCCUCUUUUUGCGUAAGUGAUUCGUGACGUGUGAAAUCAGUGCAAAUAGUCGCCUACGCGCUAUAUACCUAUCUCUCUGAUGUUAUGCCGGCACACUGAUUAUAGGCACCGGAUUUAUAUUUUUAUUUUCUUCUGCACUGAAUGUAAUUAUAAAUAUUGUUAGGGAUUUUGCAGGGAAAAUAUAUGUUGAAUUGCAAGAACGUGGAAGAUAUGAAGAAAUAAUCCUACCCGCAGGACCCUGUUGUCGAGUUUUGUAGGAACCCAUUAUUCGAGAUCCUUUUAUCGGUGAUGUUUAUUGUAUGCCAAUCUGGUAAAAUGCUUCCUCCGCGGCGUGCAUCCUGUUGAUAUGAGGGUCCAGUCGGUUCGCAAGCUUCAAAACCUUGGCUGGAAGUUGAAGGCCACAUUCGUUCGAGUAAGGCCACUUUACACUGGACAGAUUCUUCUCAAUACAAUACAAGAUAAUUCAAAUUCAUUCUUUCACGGCAUCGGCACAUUCACACUCUCCCCCUCUAACAAUGACACAUAGUCAACUUUCUCAAUGGACCAUCUGAUGUAAUCCGGCCUCGCAUACCAGACGUUCUCAAUGAACUAAGAAAGAGAGAGUGGGGGAACUCAGUUCGGAGAGAAAGAAAGAGGGAGAAAGAAAGCGAGAGUAUUAAUGAACCAGCGGUCUUUAUAAUGCUUCGGGGAUUAUGGUUCUACAUUAGUGAUGAGCGUGUUGCGGAAACUGACGCUUAACUGGGAUCUUUGAAAAAAGACAUAUUUAAAAACCGAGGAUCAAUUUUGACCGGGCUGGACCGGGCCCUGGCCAGAACCUCGUCUGGAGCCGCAGACAUGGUCGGGGCCUCAUAGGGCCCAAGUCGGGUUGAUUUGGCUCCGAAUUUUCUGCACGGAAUGAUCGUUGGGCAGAAUAAACAGCACCUACACCGCAUGAAUGGAACGACUUCCAAGAACAGUACAGUCUGGCAAAAAAAUAUAUUUCACACAUAUGAUGUAAAUAUUAUUAUAUUAUUAGAAUAACAAAAAAAAUCUUUAUUUAUCCAUUGAAAAACGAUAUCUUAAUUCAAGGCUUUCGUUUAAGAUUAUUAUAAAUAUAUAGGUAUUUUAUUAUUC
Long non-coding RNA from Leptopilina heterotoma, 1247 nucleotides. RefSeq lists it as uncharacterized. NCBI's taxonomy places the organism in Eukaryota, Metazoa, Arthropoda, Insecta, Hymenoptera, Figitidae. The record is from RefSeq and is a predicted model, not a curated record. The transcript has 4 exons.